RNAcentral lists this ribosomal RNA (552 nucleotides) under Triticum aestivum (bread wheat). Its description in RNAcentral is "partial small subunit ribosomal RNA". Lineage: Eukaryota; Viridiplantae; Streptophyta; Magnoliopsida; Poales; Poaceae. The record is from RNAcentral.
AUGAAGACCAUACUCCUCCUCAUUCUCGCAUUCCCUUUCUUGGGCGCCGCCGGCGAGCGUUGCCGCGGCGUCCCGUCACUGCCAGUGGAGGCCGCCUGCCGAAAGGCGUGCGGCACGAAGCUCAUGCACGACAUGUGCAUGGACACGCUCCGCGGGGGAUUCGAUCCUAGCCCGUCCGUCCACAUCGAGGUCACCGAGUAUGCGCUCCUCGCCACGCACCGCGCCCUCGAGUCCUACGGCGCCACGGCUGCCGCCGCGGCCGAGCUGCUCUGCAGCGGGUCGCUCUCUGGCGACGAGAGGGCGGCCUACAACACAUGCUUGACGGAGUACUCCUACGCUGUGCGGUGCAUGGAGCACGUCGCCGGCGACAUGGUAGCGCGUUGCCGGUUCGCGGGGCUCGGGGAGGAGUACGUGCGCUGCGUGACGUACGUGGAGGGCUGUAGGGAUCGCUUGGUGCGGCUCAAGUCAUCGCCGCUCUACGCCAUGAAUCUUGUCGACCGGAACAAGGCCCUUCUGGCUUACUCCCUCGGUCAAUUGCUCGGUAGCAUAUGA